GAUGAACGCUGGCGGCGUGCUUAACACAUGCAAGUCGAACGGGAAACCUUUUAUUGAAGCUUCGGCAGAUUUAGCUGGAUUCUAGUGGCGGACGGGUGAGUAACGCGUGGGUAACCUGCCUUAUACAGGGGGAUAACAACCAGAAAUGGUUGCUAAUACCGCAUAAGCGCACAGGACCGCAUGGUCCGGUGUGAAAAACUCCGGUGGUAUAAGAUGGACCCGCGUUGGAUUAGCUAGUUGGCAGGGUAACGGCCUACCAAGGCGACGAUCCAUAGCCGGCCUGAGAGGGUGAACGGCCACAUUGGGACUGAGACACGGCCCAGACUCCUACGGGAGGCAGCAGUGGGGAAUAUUGCAAAAUAGGGGAAACCCUGAUGCAGCGACGCCGCGUGAAGGAAGAAGUAUCUCGGUAUGUGAACUGCUAUCAGCAGGGAAGAUAGUGACGGUACCUGACGAAGAAGCCCCGGCUAACUACGUG
RNAcentral lists this ribosomal RNA (478 nucleotides) under uncultured bacterium. RNAcentral describes it as "partial 16S ribosomal RNA". It matches the Rfam family "Bacterial small subunit ribosomal RNA", at positions 28 to 507 of the family's 1533-position model. The record is from RNAcentral.